This is a long non-coding RNA of Phyllostomus discolor (pale spear-nosed bat), 2960 nucleotides long. RefSeq lists it as uncharacterized. The transcript has 2 exons. NCBI's taxonomy places the organism in Eukaryota, Metazoa, Chordata, Mammalia, Chiroptera, Phyllostomidae. The record is from RefSeq and is a predicted model, not a curated record.
ACACACACACACACCCCAGACCCACUGCAGAAUCUUGAAAAUUUCUUCCCAUGAGUCCAAAGGCCAGAGAAUGAGUUAGGCUAGAACCUUUACAAUUACCAAGGAUACAAACUCAACUCAGCUUUUAAUUAGAGCACUGGAUUCCACUGUCUGAAGAGGUUCAGAUUUCCUCUGAGUUGUUUUUAUGAAAACAAAAGGUUCAGGGUUUUUCUUAAACAUCACCUGGGACAAUUUCUGAUGGCUCCCACUAUGGCAAGUGGACUCCUAAUUCAGGCCCCGUCCAAAUCUACCCAGGUUUGCAGAUGCCAUGAAGAUCAAAGGCAAAAGAGGGAUAUGAUUUCCAGCUCCCCAUUUUUCCUGCCCCUGCAGGAACUCUAGCUCAUUCCUUUCCUCUCCAAGGCUGCUGGUCUGGGCCCAAGAAUUAUCAGUGUCAUCAGUGCAAGGAGGUUAUCAGUGCAAGAAAGUGGAUUAGCAGUUGUCAGUGUUGUCAGUGCAAGAAGGUGGAUUAGAGGUAUUAGUAAGAGAUGUUUAAAGCCAUGAGUACUGAAAGCAGCUUUUGGCCUCACGAUUCGAAAAGCUGAAAAAACACUGGAAGAGGGAGUCUGAAGCACUUUAUCAACAAGGAAUGCAGGAAGUUUAUGUAUCGACCACCUCUUACUUUCUCUAAGUGUAUCUUAGAAACGGAGAAAUUAUACACGUAAGUAGAACUUUAGAUAGCCAGUCAUUUUUUAAAAUUUCUGAAUUAUAUAAAUUGACUUGAAUGAUUUUAGGAUGAUCUUGGGAAUAUUAAUCUGGAAAAAAAUGUUCAUUUACAAUGUGCUGGGCAUUUAUUUUUCUCAUUUAUUCAACAUAUUUACUGAAACCUAUGGGGUAUAUACUCUGCCAUGUGCUGGGGGUAUGAAGAUGAACAAGAGCACUUAAGUCAUGUCCGAUACCAGUAGCUAGUGCAGUACUAAAUGCAUACCUAAUGACAAAAUAAUGGCUAGCACUUACUGCUUAGCUGUUCAAUGCACUAGUCCUGUAUUAACUCAUGUAGACAGUGCAAUGACUCUGUGAGGUACGUAUAAUUAUUAUUUCUAUUUUACAGAGAAGUUAAGUAACUGCCCAAGGUCGCAGAGCUAAUAAACGUCUGAGACCAGCUUCACACCUAUACAGCCUGGCUUCAAAAUCCACUAUAUUAUUUCAGAAAAGUGUCAUACUAGCAGUUUCUAAGUUUUCACUGAAUACUCCACAAUUUCAUUUAUUUUUACUCCAACUCUACCCUGAAAAGAUUCUGUACAUUUAUCAGCAAUUAUAAGAACUUCUGUUACCGAAUGAUGUUCCCUAACAUAGAUAAGGAUUGCUAGACCUAUUUUAGGAAAAAGAAAACUCAAGCUCAAAAUGUGCAUUGAUUUGUCAUGUGGUCAUGUGUUCAACGAAAGUUUGAACACUAGGUGGCAUACAAAGAUGAUCAAGACAUAAUCUCUCUGUGAAGAGCACAGAGCAAUGCUAAGGGGAUAAGAAGAAAUGAGCAAUUAAUGCCGCAAGGAGACUCCUCAGAGGAAGUGAUCUGUGGGAUGACAGGUCCCUUUACACAGCACUGCUCCCCGCUCAGACGUGACGUGGAGACUGAGCUGGAAAUCUGCGUCCCUCAUGUAGUAAGUCCUAGGCUUGUUCUUCACAUGAAGUUAUGGAUUUAUGGAUUGGUGUAAAAAUACUCAGCAAGUUGAUCCAAAAAAUAAAAAUUUUAGCUACACCAUUAGGAAAAAAACAACAGAAUCACAAUAUGUUUAGUAAGCUAUUUUUCACAUGAGAACUUCUCUGUACAUAAGGAGAUUUAAUGAUUCAACACCAUGUGGUAAAUUAUUUCCAUUAUGAACUUGACUUCAGAAUGUAAUUUUUAGGUGGGGGAAGAUGGGCAAAAAGGAAUGACGAAGAACAUAUUUGUAAACUACUAAGAGAAUAUCAGUUGUGAAGAACACUGGCUAAAAUCAUGUCUGGCAAAGCAUUCGCGCUCAUGUGCAGUUCCUGUGACAUGGCUAUUUCUUAGGACACCUCAUUAGACACAGCCUGUUUCUUGUUCAUUCAUUCUCUGAGUCUACCGGCCCACCUGGUGCAGCAUCCAGGAGAAUGAACUCGGUGACACAAAAUCCUAGAAUUUUAUAUGACUGCCAUAACAGGUGGUACUAACAAAAUAAACCUGGCAAUUUUCAUCCAAGAACAUUUAAAAGUGAGUUUUGAGCAGGCAGUUUUUAAAAGAAACGCUUAUGCUUUUGAAGAAUGGCAGUGAGCCCUUGAAGAGCUGAAACUGAUUAUGUUGAAUUGUAUUGCAAACUGAGCCGCAGCUUCCUCUCCUGCUCCCUUUCCCAGCAUUUCUACCUUGACUUAACACAAAACAAGGGCCAUAUGGGAGAGGUGGGUCUCAUUCCACUGUUACAGGAGGGCAGAGUUCAGAUGGAACUCUGCUGCUCUCAUUGUGAUGCAUCUCAGCAAAGGCACAGACUGUAAACAGGAAGAACUGAUGCCGUGUGUUGCGGAGAGAUGAAAGAAGUGUGGUAUUUCACCUCCUGGCCAAAAAACAGAAAAUCACAGCUCUCAAAUCAAGGAGAGCUUGUAGGUAAGAGCAGAGAUGGGAACUCGAAGUACACUUUUUAUUGCAAACUUCCUAAGUGUUCUCAAGCAAGGCAUUUUGCUUUUCUGAGCCUCACUCCCCUUGGUGCAUGGCAGCCACCAGCACUUUACAGGGGCUUCUGCUCCUCUGGUCAAUCGUCUGUGAAUUCAGCGAUGAACUGGCCCUGCUUCAAAUUCCUGGAUUUUAGGCCCUACCAACAUUUGGGGUUUUAGCUGCACUUUCCAUAAAUUAACCUAUCAGGGUUAAUUGAACACAAAUGACAGUUAUCACCAAAGUAACUUUUGAGUAAUAGUGUAACAGUUGCUGUUUCUUUUUUCUCAGUCCAUACAACUAUUCCUAAAGUUGCGGG